AUUGAACGCUAGCGGGAUGCCUUACACAUGCAAGUCGAACGGAGUGGCGAACGGGUGAGUAAUGUAUCGGAACGUGCCCAGUAGCGGGGGAUAACUACGCGAAAGCGUAGCUAAUACCGCAUACUAUUGGAGCGGCCGAUAGCGGAUUAGCUAGUGGGCGGGGCAACGGCUCACCAAGGCGACGAUCCGUAGCUGGUUCGAGAGGACGACCAGCCACAAUGGGACUGAGACACGGCCCAGACUCCUACGGGAGGCAGCAGUGGGGAAUUUUGGACAAUGGGGGAAACCCUGAUGCAGCCAGCCCGCGUGUGGGAAGAAGGCCUUCGGGUUGUAAAGCACUUUUAGCAGGGAAGCGGUACCUGCAGAAUAAGCACCGGCUAACUACGUGCCAGCAGCCGCGGUAAUAC
RNAcentral lists this ribosomal RNA (407 nucleotides) under uncultured bacterium. Its description in RNAcentral is "partial 16S ribosomal RNA". It matches the Rfam family "Bacterial small subunit ribosomal RNA", at positions 29 to 526 of the family's 1533-position model. The record is from RNAcentral.